UACGAAGGGGGCUAGCGUUGCUCGGAAUUACUGGGCGUAAAGGGAGCGUAGGCGGUUAGUUUAGUCAGAGGUGAAAGCCCAGGGCUCAACCUUGGAAUUGCCUUUGAUACUGGCUAUCUUGAGUAUGGAAGAGGUAUGUGGAACUCCGAGUGUAGAGGUGAAAUUCGUAGAUAUUCGGAAGAACACCAGUGGCGAAGGCGACAUACUGGUCCAUUACUGACGCUGAGGCUCGAAAGCGUGGGGAGCAAACAGG
This 253-nucleotide ribosomal RNA is filed under the name uncultured bacterium. RNAcentral describes it as "partial 16S ribosomal RNA". It matches the Rfam family "Bacterial small subunit ribosomal RNA", at positions 524 to 776 of the family's 1533-position model. The record is from RNAcentral.